This 96-nucleotide ribosomal RNA is filed under the name Trichoderma virens. RNAcentral's name for it is "5.8S ribosomal RNA". Lineage: Eukaryota; Fungi; Ascomycota; Sordariomycetes; Hypocreales; Hypocreaceae. The record is from RNAcentral.
UUACGGGGCCGGCCCCGAAAUACAGUGGCGGUCUCGCCGCAGCCUCUCCUGCGCAGUAGUUUGCACACUCGCAUCGGGAGCGCGGCGCGUCCACAG